Molecule: ribosomal RNA, 484 nt
Filed under: uncultured bacterium
Lineage: Bacteria
Description: partial 16S ribosomal RNA
Rfam family: Bacterial small subunit ribosomal RNA
Source: RNAcentral
ACUCAAAGGAAUAGACGGGGACCCGCACAAGCGGUGGAGCGUGUUGUUUAAUUCGAUGGUAAGCGAAGAACCUUACCCAGGCUUGACAUCCUUGGAAUUUCUCCGAAAGGAGAGAGUGCUUUAUUGAGCCAAGUGACAGGUGAUGCAUGGCCGUCGUCAGCUCGUGUCGUGAGAUGUUUGGUUAAGUCCAUCAACGAGCGCAACCCCUGUGAUUAGUUGGAUUUUUCUAAUCAGACUGCCUCGGUAACGGGGAGGAAGGAGGGGAUGAUGUCAGGUCAGUAUUUCCCUUACGUCUGGGGCUACAAACACGCUACAAUGGCCGGUACAAAGGGCUGCCAAGUCGCGAGACGGAGCAAAUCCCAUCAAAGCCGGUCCAAGUUCGGAUAGGAGGCUGAAACUCGCCUCCUUGAAGUCGGAAUCGCUAGUAACGGUAGGUCAGAACACUACCGUGAAUACGUUCCCGGGUCUUGCACACACCGCCCGU